RNAcentral lists this ribosomal RNA (451 nucleotides) under uncultured bacterium. RNAcentral describes it as "partial 16S ribosomal RNA". It matches the Rfam family "Bacterial small subunit ribosomal RNA", at positions 29 to 523 of the family's 1533-position model. The record is from RNAcentral.
AGCGAACGCUGGCGGCAGGCCUAAUACAUGCAAGUCGAGCGGCCGUAGCAAUACGGCAGCGGCAGACGGGAGAGUAACACGUGGGAACGUACCUUUCGGUUCGGAACAACCCAGGGAAACUUGGGCUAAUACCGGAUACGUCCGUAAGGAGAAAGAUUUAUCGCCGAAAGAUCGGCCCGCGUCUGAUUCGGUUGGUGGUGAGGUAACGGCUCACCAAGGCGACGAUCAGUAGCUGGUCUGAGAGGAUGAUCAGCCUCACUGGGACUGAGACACGGCCCAGACUCCUACGGGAGGCAGCAGUAGGGAAUAUUGGACAAUGGGCGCAAGCCUGAUCCAGCCAUGCCGCGUGAGUGAUGAAGGCCCUAGGGUUGUAAAGCUCUUUCGGCGGGGAAGAUAAUGACGGUACCCGCAGAAGAAGCCCCGGCUAACUUCGUGCCAGCCGCCGCCGUAA